AUGUGAUGAGGCAAGGGCAGUUUAAAGGGGGUACAGCCCCUUUAAAAAAGAGCACAAUCUCUCCUAGCGGAUAACCCUUACCCCCUCCCAAAUUGUAGGCCCUUAAGCAGCCACCCAUAAAGAGUGCGUCAAAGCUCAACACUAAAAAAUCCGAAAACAACCUGACUCCCUUACCACUAACAGGCCAACCUAUAACAAUAGGAGAACUACUGCUAAAAUAAGUAACCCGGGGCAACCCUCUAGAGCGCGACGUUACACCACCAUGUUAUUAACAGACCAUGUUUAAUGUUACAACCCAACAGGACAAACCAUUAACACUCCACCGUUAGCCCGACACAGGAGCGCCCACAAGAAAGAUUAAAAUCUGCAAAAGGAACUAGGCAAACCCAAGGCCCGACUGUUUACCAAAAACAUAGCCUUCAGCCAACCAAGUAUUGAAGGUGAUGCCUGCCCAGUGACAUCAUGUUUAACGGCCGCGGUAUCCUAACCGUGCGAAGGUAGCGCAAUCAAUUGUCCCAUAAAUCGAGACUUGUAUGAAUGGCUAAACGAGGUCUUGUAUGAAUGGCUAAACGAGGUCUUAGCUGUCUCUUGCAGAUAAUCGGUGAAAUUGAUCUCCCUGUGCAAAAGCAGGAAUAAACCCAUAAGACGAGAAGACCCUGUGGAACUUAAAAAUCAGCGGCCACCCCACCUAGAACCUAAGCCUACUAGGCAUACUAUUACUCCAAAAACAUUGGCCCGCAUUUUUCGGUUGGGGCGACCUUGGAGAAAAACGAACCCUCCAAAAAUAAGACCACACCUCUUGACCAAGAGCAACCCCUCAACGUACUAACAGUAACCCGACCCAAUAUAAUUGACCAAUGGACCAAGCUACCCCAGGGGUAACAGCGCAAUCUCCUUCAAGAGCCCAUAUCGACAAGGAGGUUUACGACCUCGAUGUUGGAUCAGGACAUCCUAAUGGUGCAGCCGCUAUUAAGGGUUCGUUUGUUCAACGAUUAACAGUCCUACGUGAUCUGAGUUCAGACCGGAGCAAUCCAGGUCGGUUUCUAUCUAUGACGAACUUUCCCCAGUACGAAAGGACCGGAAAAGUAAGGCCAAUACUAUAGGCACGCCUUUAUCCCCAAGUAAUGCAGCCCAACUAAAUUACUUAAAGGACACCCAUAUCCCUAGCCCUAGAAAAGGGCCGCUAGCGUGGCAGAGCUUGGUAAAUGCAA
Molecule: ribosomal RNA, 1211 nt
Filed under: Pelecanus occidentalis
Lineage: Eukaryota; Metazoa; Chordata; Aves; Pelecaniformes; Pelecanidae
Description: partial 16S ribosomal RNA
Rfam family: Bacterial large subunit ribosomal RNA
Source: RNAcentral